This 253-nucleotide ribosomal RNA is filed under the name uncultured bacterium. RNAcentral's name for it is "partial 16S ribosomal RNA". It matches the Rfam family "Bacterial small subunit ribosomal RNA", at positions 524 to 776 of the family's 1533-position model. The record is from RNAcentral.
UACAGAGGGUGCGAGCGUUAAUCGGAAUUACUGGGCGUAAAGGGUGCGUAGGUGGUUUGGUAAGUUAGAUGUGAAAUUCCUGGGCUUAACCUGGGGACUGCGUCUGAUACUGCGAAGCUAGAGUACUGUAGAGGGAAGUGGAAUUUCCGGUGUAGCAGUGAAAUGCGUAGAUAUCGGAAGGAACAUCAGUGGCGAAGGCGACUUCCUGGACAGAUACUGACACUGAGGCACGAAAGCGUGGGGAGCAAACAGG